CCUACGGGAGGCAGCAGUGGGGAAUAUUGGACAAUGGGGGCAACCCUGAUCCAGCCAUGCCGCGUGUGUGAAGAAGGCCCUCGGGUUGUAAAGCACUUUCAGUGAGGAAGAACGCCUGGUGGUUAAUACCCAUCAGGAAAGACAUCACUCACAGAAGAAGCACCGGCUAACUCCGUGCCAGCAGCCGCGGUAAUACGGAGGGUGCGAGCGUUAAUCGGAAUUACUGGGCGUAAAGCGCGCGUAGGUGGCUUGAUAAGCCGGUUGUGAAAGCCCCGGGCUCAACCUGGGAACGGCAUCCGGAACUGUCAAGCUAGAGUGCAGGAGAGGAAGAUAGAAUUCCCGGUGGAGCGGUGAUAUGCGUAGAGAUCGGGAGGAAUACCAGUAGCGAAGGCGGCCUUGUGGACUGACACUGACACUGAGGUGCGAAAGCGUGGGUAGCAAACAGGAUAAGAUACCCUGGUAGUC
This 465-nucleotide ribosomal RNA is filed under the name Vreelandella stevensii. RNAcentral describes it as "partial 16S ribosomal RNA". It matches the Rfam family "Bacterial small subunit ribosomal RNA", at positions 338 to 795 of the family's 1533-position model. Lineage: Bacteria; Pseudomonadati; Pseudomonadota; Gammaproteobacteria; Oceanospirillales; Halomonadaceae. The record is from RNAcentral.